UCUCUCUGAAUCUGCGUACGGCUCCGCAAACCAGUUGUAAACUAUAGCAAGCAAGCCCGGGAUCGGCCUUCACGGGCUGGUUCCGGGUGAUAUGGAUAACCCUGGUAAUUCUGAGGCUAAUACAUGACCGUAAAACCUAGCUGACCGGCUUCGGCUGGGAUGCUGGGGGACGUGUGAUUUGGGCUUGGUAACACCGGGAAGGGGCGCACGUCUAGACCACGCUAUAAAGGUCGGUUUCCCCUUCGGGGGGGGCUGUCCCAGUGGCUCUUGCUGUGUGCUUCUGACCUAUCAACUAGACGGCAGCGUAAGGGACAUGCUAUGGUGACAACGGGUACAGAGGAUUAGGGUUCGAUCCUGGAGAGUGGGCCUGAGAGAUCUCC
RNAcentral lists this ribosomal RNA (380 nucleotides) under uncultured myxomycete. RNAcentral describes it as "bacterial SSU rRNA". It matches the Rfam family "Eukaryotic small subunit ribosomal RNA", at positions 76 to 408 of the family's 1831-position model. Lineage: Eukaryota; Evosea; Eumycetozoa. The record is from RNAcentral.